RNAcentral lists this long non-coding RNA (261 nucleotides) under Struthio camelus australis. Its description in RNAcentral is "lncRNA (ENSSCUG00000014806.1)". The record is from RNAcentral. Lineage: Eukaryota; Metazoa; Chordata; Aves; Struthioniformes; Struthionidae.
AGCAACUGCUGCCUCAAAUUUCCAGAGAUCGACAGCUCAGGUUUUAAAGUUGCUCGGGGACUUUUCAGGACAUCAUGUCUCUAAGGAAGAAAGUAAGACCGAGUUCUGCCUCAGGGAAGUUAGAAACAUUCAACCUUAGCAGGAGUUGGAAAAGGAUGGCUACAAAUCAUUGGAUGUAGAGAAGUUUAAGCAGAUAAUGAAGAAGUGCAUGAGUCCACAUAGCACGAUUGAUGAGCAAGUUGAAAAGCUUUUCAUGAAAAU